This 654-nucleotide ribosomal RNA is filed under the name Burkholderia cepacia. RNAcentral describes it as "bacterial SSU rRNA". It matches the Rfam family "Bacterial small subunit ribosomal RNA", at positions 64 to 712 of the family's 1533-position model. Lineage: Bacteria; Pseudomonadati; Pseudomonadota; Betaproteobacteria; Burkholderiales; Burkholderiaceae. The record is from RNAcentral.
GAACGGCAGCACGGGUGCUUGCACCUGGUGGCGAGUGGCGAACGGGUGAGUAAUACAUCGGAACAUGUCCUGUAGUGGGGGAUAGCCCGGCGAAAGCCGGAUUAAUACCGCAUACGAUCUACGGAUGAAAGCGGGGGACCUUCGGGCCUCGCGCUAUAGGGUUGGCCGAUGGCUGAUUAGCUAGUUGGUGGGGUAAAGGCCUACCAAGGCGACGAUCAGUAGCUGGUCUGAGAGGACGACCAGCCACACUGGGACUGAGACACGGCCCAGACUCCUACGGGAGGCAGCAGUGGGGAAUUUUGGACAAUGGGCGAAAGCCUGAUCCAGCAAUGCCGCGUGUGUGAAGAAGGCCUUCGGGUUGUAAAGCACUUUUGUCCGGAAAGAAAUCCUUGGCUCUAAUACAGUCGGGGGAUGACGGUACCGGAAGAAUAAGCACCGGCUAACUACGUGCCAGCAGCCGCGGUAAUACGUAGGGUGCAAGCGUUAAUCGGAAUUACUGGGCGUAAAGCGUGCGCAGGCGGUUUGCUAAGACCGAUGUGAAAUCCCCGGGCUCAACCUGGGAACUGCAUUGGUGACUGGCAGGCUAGAGUAUGGCAGAGGGGGGUAGAAUUCCACGUGUAGCAGUGAAAUGCGUAGAGAUGUGGAGGAUACCGA